AAGUCGUAACAAGGUUUCCGUAGGUGAACCUGCGGAAGGAUCAUUAAUACGCUUUUGUUUGUAACAAAACAAAACGUUUUAAACUCCAAAAGAAAUAGUGGAAAUAUAACUUCCGGAUGCGAAUUGUUGGGAACUGAGUAAAAUCGGUUCUUUGAAAAAGGGACUUCAAGUAAUUGACACUUCAGAGUAGAGCAGUGAGGUGAAAUUCUCUUUAAUGAGAGGUUGGUUCUGAAAACAUUUGUAUCCGGUUAUCAUAAUCUGUUCUACAACCUCCAAAAUAUCAAACAAUAAACCCCAUGUACAACAACUUGAACUAAACAUUUUUUUGUCGUCCGCUUACACACUUGUUGUGUGAGAAGAUACUGCAAAGAAAAAACCUGAACUUAAGAACAACUCUUAACAACGGAUAUCUUGGUUCUC
This 420-nucleotide unclassified non-coding RNA is filed under the name fungal sp. RNAcentral describes it as "partial internal transcribed spacer region". The stretch from base 1 to 46 matches the Rfam family "Eukaryotic small subunit ribosomal RNA", at positions 1786 to 1831 of the family's 1831-position model. Lineage: Eukaryota; Fungi. The record is from RNAcentral.